AAAUGGAUUGAUCACUGUCCUCUGUGAUGAUCUUUUGAUUGGGAGCAUUCAGAAAUUAACUACUAAUUAAUAUAUAUCUCAAAUUUUUAACUCUUUAAGUAUAUAUAAAAAAUCAUCUUUAUUAAUUUUUAGGAUAUAUUAUGAACACAAAUAUAUGAUUGAAAAGAAAAAGCUUUUUAUUGAUAAUAAAAAAUUAUAAGUAUAAGUAUAGGCUUAAGAAUUACAUAAUGUGUCAGCC
Molecule: long non-coding RNA, 238 nt
Filed under: Elaeis guineensis (African oil palm)
Lineage: Eukaryota; Viridiplantae; Streptophyta; Magnoliopsida; Arecales; Arecaceae
Description: long non-coding RNA (EGUI_LNC004132)
Source: RNAcentral